UUAAGCGACUAAGCGUACACGGUGGAUGCCCUGGCAGUCAGAGGCGAUGAAGGACGUGCUAAUCUGCGAUAAGCGUCGGUAAGGUGAUAUGAACCGUUAUAACCGGCGAUUUCCGAAUGGGGAAACCCAGUGUGAUUCGUCACACUAUCAUUAACUGAAUCCAUAGGUUAAUGAGGCGAACCGGGGGAACUGAAACAUCUAAGUACCCCGAGGAAAAGAAAUCAACCGAGAUUCCCCCAGUAGCGGCGAGCGAACGGGGAGCAGCCCAGAGCCUGAAUCAGUGUGUGUGUUAGUGGAAGCGUCUGGAAAGGCGCGCGAUACAGGGUGACAGCCCCGUACACAAAAAUGCACAUACUGUGAGCUCGAUGAGUAGGGCGGGACACGUGGUAUCCUGUCUGAAUAUGGGGGGACCAUCCUCCAAGGCUAAAUACUCCUGACUGACCGAUAGUGAACCAGUACCGUGAGGGAAAGGCGAAAAGAACCCCGGCGAGGGGAGUGAAAAAGAACCUGAAACCGUGUACGUACAAGCAGUGGGAGCCUCUUAAUGGGGUGACUGCGUACCUUUUGUAUAAUGGGUCAGCGACUUAUAUUCUGUAGCAAGGUUAACCGAAUAGGGGAGCCGAAGGGAAACCGAGUCUUAACUGGGCGUUAAGUUGCAGGGUAUAGACCCGAAACCCGGUGAUCUAGCCAUGGGCAGGUUGAAGGUUGGGUAACACUAACUGGAGGACCGAACCGACUAAUGUUGAAAAAUUAGCGGAUGACUUGUGGCUGGGGGUGAAAGGCCAAUCAAACCGGGAGAUAGCUGGUUCUCCCCGAAAGCUAUUUAGGUAGCGCCUCGUGAAUUCAUCUCCGGGGGUAGAGCACUGUUUCGGCAAGGGGGUCAUCCCGACUUACCAACCCGAUGCAAACUGCGAAUACCGGAGAAUGUUAUCACGGGAGACACACGGCGGGUGCUAACGUCCGUCGUGAAGAGGGAAACAACCCAGACCGCCAGCUAAGGUCCCAAAGUCAUGGUUAAGUGGGAAACGAUGUGGGAAGGCCCAGACAGCCAGGAUGUUGGCUUAGAAGCAGCCAUCAUUUAAAGAAAGCGUAAUAGCUCACUGGUCGAGUCGGCCUGCGCGGAAGAUGUAACGGGGCUAAACCAUGCACCGAAGCUGCGGCAGCGACGCUUAUGCGUUGUUGGGUAGGGGAGCGUUCUGUAAGCCUGCGAAGGUGUACUGUGAGGUAUGCUGGAGGUAUCAGAAGUGCGAAUGCUGACAUAAGUAACGAUAAAGCGGGUGAAAAGCCCGCUCGCCGGAAGACCAAGGGUUCCUGUCCAACGUUAAUCGGGGCAGGGUGAGUCGACCCCUAAGGCGAGGCCGAAAGGCGUAGUCGAUGGGAAACAGGUUAAUAUUCCUGUACUUGGUGUUACUGCGAAGGGGGGACGGAGAAGGCUAUGUUGGCCGGGCGACGGUUGUCCCGGUUUAAGCGUGUAGGCUGGUUUUCCAGGCAAAUCCGGAAAAUCAAGGCUGAGGCGUGAUGACGAGGCACUACGGUGCUGAAGCAACAAAUGCCCUGCUUCCAGGAAAAGCCUCUAAGCAUCAGGUAACAUCAAAUCGUACCCCAAACCGACACAGGUGGUCAGGUAGAGAAUACCAAGGCGCUUGAGAGAACUCGGGUGAAGGAACUAGGCAAAAUGGUGCCGUAACUUCGGGAGAAGGCACGCUGAUAUGUAGGUGAAGUCCCUUGCGGAUGGAGCUGAAAUCAGUCGAAGAUACCAGCUGGCUGCAACUGUUUAUUAAAAACACAGCACUGUGCAAACACGAAAGUGGACGUAUACGGUGUGACGCCUGCCCGGUGCCGGAAGGUUAAUUGAUGGGGUUAGCGGUAACGCGAAGCUCUUGAUCGAAGCCCCGGUAAACGGCGGCCGUAACUAUAACGGUCCUAAGGUAGCGAAAUUCCUUGUCGGGUAAGUUCCGACCUGCACGAAUGGCGUAAUGAUGGCCAGGCUGUCUCCACCCGAGACUCAGUGAAAUUGAACUCGCUGUGAAGAUGCAGUGUACCCGCGGCAAGACGGAAAGACCCCGUGAACCUUUACUAUAGCUUGACACUGAACAUUGAGCCUUGAUGUGUAGGAUAGGUGGGAGGCUUUGAAGUGUGGACGCCAGUCUGCAUGGAGCCGACCUUGAAAUACCACCCUUUAAUGUUUGAUGUUCUAACGUUGGCCCCUAAUCGGGGUUGCGGACAGUGUCUGGUGGGUAGUUUGACUGGGGCGGUCUCCUCCUAAAGAGUAACGGAGGAGCACGAAGGUUGGCUAAUCCUGGUCGGACAUCAGGAGGUUAGUGCAAUGGCAUAAGCCAGCUUGACUGCGAGCGUGACGGCGCGAGCAGGUGCGAAAGCAGGUCAUAGUGAUCCGGUGGUUCUGAAUGGAAGGGCCAUCGCUCAACGGAUAAAAGGUACUCCGGGGAUAACAGGCUGAUACCGCCCAAGAGUUCAUAUCGACGGCGGUGUUUGGCACCUCGAUGUCGGCUCAUCACAUCCUGGGGCUGAAGUAGGUCCCAAGGGUAUGGCUGUUCGCCAUUUAAAGUGGUACGCGAGCUGGGUUUAGAACGUCGUGAGACAGUUCGGUCCCUAUCUGCCGUGGGCGCUGGAGAACUGAGGGGGGCUGCUCCUAGUACGAGAGGACCGGAGUGGACGCAUCACUGGUGUUCGGGUUGUCAUGCCAAUGGCACUGCCCGGUAGCUAAAUGCGGAAGAGAUAAGUGCUGAAAGCAUCU
RNAcentral lists this ribosomal RNA (2755 nucleotides) under Escherichia coli. RNAcentral describes it as "23S ribosomal RNA". It matches the Rfam family "Bacterial large subunit ribosomal RNA". The record is from RNAcentral. Lineage: Bacteria; Pseudomonadati; Pseudomonadota; Gammaproteobacteria; Enterobacterales; Enterobacteriaceae.